GAGUUUGAUCGUGGCUCAGAUUGAACGCUGGCGGCAUGCCUUACACAUGCAAGUCGAACGGCAGCAUGAUCUAGCUUGCUAGAUUGAUGGCGAGUGGCGAACGGGUGAGUAAUACAUCGGAACGUGCCCUGUAGUGGGGGAUAACUAGUCGAAAGAUUAGCUAAUACCGCAUACGACCUGAGGGUGAAGGUGGGGGACCGCAAGGCCUCAUGCUAUAGGAGCGGCCGAUGUCUGAUUAGCUAGUUGGUGGGGUAAAGGCCCACCAAGGCGACGAUCAGUAGCUGGUCUGAGAGGACGAUCAGCCACACUGGGACUGAGACACGGCCCAGACUCCUACGGGAGGCAGCAGUGGGGAAUUUUGGACAAUGGGCGAAAGCCUGAUCCAGCAAUGCCGCGUGUGUGAAGAAGGCC
RNAcentral lists this ribosomal RNA (411 nucleotides) under uncultured microorganism. RNAcentral's name for it is "bacterial SSU rRNA". It matches the Rfam family "Bacterial small subunit ribosomal RNA", at positions 9 to 416 of the family's 1533-position model. The record is from RNAcentral.